CAGAGUAGGCGUCACGCGUCAAGUGCCGGCGGAUGGGAAGUCGCCGCCGGACGAAAAGCCGGAAACGAAGGAUCGGCUUGCGGUGUGGCGCCGCGUCCGCUGC
This 103-nucleotide non-coding RNA is filed under the name uncultured Hydrogeniiclostridium sp. RNAcentral's name for it is "THF riboswitch". It matches the Rfam family "THF (Tetrahydrofolate) riboswitch aptamer". From Rfam's summary of the family: THF riboswitch presents a pseudoknot that joins P1-P2 and the loop of P3 and two THF binding. The record is from RNAcentral. Lineage: Bacteria; Bacillati; Bacillota; Clostridia; Eubacteriales; Acutalibacteraceae.